GAUGAAGAAACGCAGCGAAAUGCGAUAAGUAGUGUGAAUUGCAGAAUUCAGUGAAUCAUCGAAUCUUUGAACGCACAUUGCGCCCGCCAGUAUUCUGGCGGGCAUGCCUGUCCGAGCGUCAUUUCAACCCUCGAACCCCUCCGGGGGGUCGGCGUUGGGGAUCGGCCCUUUACGGGGCCGGCCCCGAAAUACAGUGGCGGUCUCGCCGCAGCCUCUCCUGCGCAGUAGUUUGCACACUCGCAUCGGGAGCGCGGCGCGUCCACAGCCGUUAAACACCCCAAACUUCUGAAAUGUUGACCUCGGAUCAGGUAGGAAUACCCGCUGAACUUAAGCAUAUCAAUAAGCGGAGGA
RNAcentral lists this unclassified non-coding RNA (351 nucleotides) under soil metagenome. RNAcentral's name for it is "partial contains 5.8S ribosomal RNA, internal transcribed spacer 2, and large subunit ribosomal RNA". The stretch from base 1 to 121 matches the Rfam family "5.8S ribosomal RNA", at positions 35 to 154 of the family's 154-position model. The record is from RNAcentral.